Molecule: transfer RNA, 72 nt
Filed under: Bos taurus (domestic cattle)
Lineage: Eukaryota; Metazoa; Chordata; Mammalia; Artiodactyla; Bovidae
Also listed under: 1 other name
Rfam family: tRNA
About the family: Transfer RNA (tRNA) molecules are approximately 80 nucleotides in length.
Source: Rfam by way of RNAcentral
UCCCUGGUGGCUCAGAUGGUAAAGAACCUGCCUGCAGUGCAGGAGACCCAGGUUCGAUUCCUGGGUUGGAAA